AUAAUAAUUAGUUUUUUAAUUGGAAACUAGAAUGAAUGAUUGAAUGAGAUAUAAGCUUUUUUUUUUAAAAUUUUAUAAAAUUUAAAUUUUUGGUUAAAAAGCUAAAAUUUAAUAAAAAGACGAGAAGACCCUAUAGAUUUUUAUUUAAUAAAAAAUUAUUUUUAAUUUUGAUUAAAUUUUAUUGGGGGGAUAAAAAAAUUUAUAAAACUUUUUAAUUUAAUUAACAUUAAUUUUUGAAAUUUAAAUUUAUAAACUAUAGGAUUUAUUAUAAAUAAAGAUUAAAAUACCUUAGGGAUAACAGCGUAAUUUUAAUUUUAAGAUCUUAUUUAAAUUAAAGAUUGC
This 342-nucleotide ribosomal RNA is filed under the name Gracilipsodes aureus. Its description in RNAcentral is "partial 16S ribosomal RNA". Lineage: Eukaryota; Metazoa; Arthropoda; Insecta; Trichoptera; Leptoceridae. The record is from RNAcentral.